RNAcentral lists this ribosomal RNA (1484 nucleotides) under Staphylococcus aureus. RNAcentral describes it as "bacterial SSU rRNA". The record is from RNAcentral. Lineage: Bacteria; Bacillati; Bacillota; Bacilli; Caryophanales; Staphylococcaceae.
AGAGUUUGAUCCUGGCUCAGGAUGAACGCUGGCGGCGUGCCUAAUACAUGCAAGUCGAGCGAACGGACGAGAAGCUUGCUUCUCUGAUGUUAGCGGCGGACGGGUGAGUAACACGUGGAUAACCUACCUAUAAGACUGGGAUAACUUCGGGAAACCGGAGCUAAUACCGGAUAAUAUUUUGAACCGCAUGGUUCAAAAGUGAAAGACGGUCUUGCUGUCACUUAUAGAUGGAUCCGCGCUGCAUUAGCUAGUUGGUAAGGUAACGGCUUACCAAGGCAACGAUGCAUAGCCGACCUGAGAGGGUGAUCGGCCACACUGGAACUGAGACACGGUCCAGACUCCUACGGGAGGCAGCAGUAGGGAAUCUUCCGCAAUGGGCGAAAGCCUGACGGAGCAACGCCGCGUGAGUGAUGAAGGUCUUCGGAUCGUAAAACUCUGUUAUUAGGGAAGAACAUAUGUGUAAGUAACUGUGCACAUCUUGACGGUACCUAAUCAGAAAGCCACGGCUAACUACGUGCCAGCAGCCGCGGUAAUACGUAGGUGGCAAGCGUUAUCCGGAAUUAUUGGGCGUAAAGCGCGCGUAGGCAUUGGAAACUGGAAAACUUGAGUGCAGAAGAGGAAAGUGGAAUUCCAUGUGUAGCGGUGAAAUGCGCAGAGAUAUGGAGGAACACCAGUGGCGAAGGCGACUUUCUGGUCUGUAACUGACGCUGAUGUGCGAAAGCGUGGGGAUCAAACAGGAUUAGAUACCCUGGUAGUCCACGCCGUAAACGAUGAGUGCUAAGUGUUAGGGGGUUUCCGCCCCUUAGUGCUGCAGCUAACGCAUUAAGCACUCCGCCUGGGGAGUACGACCGCAAGGUUGAAACUCAAAGGAAUUGACGGGGACCCGCACAAGCGGUGGAGCAUGUGGUUUAAUUCGAAGCAACGCGAAGAACCUUACCAAAUCUUGACAUCCUUUGACAACUCUAGAGAUAGAGCYUUCCCCUUCGGGGGACAAAGUGACAGGUGGUGCAUGGUUGUCGUCAGCUCGUGUCGUGAGAUGUUGGGUUAAGUCCCGCAACGAGCGCAACCCUUAAGCUUAGUUGCCAUCAUUAAGUUGGGCACUCUAAGUUGACUGCCGGUGACAAACCGGAGGAAGGUGGGGAUGACGUCAAAUCAUCAUGCCCCUUAUGAUUUGGGCUACACACGUGCUACAAUGGACAAUACAAAGGGCAGCGAAACCGCGAGGUCAAGCAAAUCCCAUAAAGUUGUUCUCAGUUCGGAUUGUAGUCUGCAACUCGACUACAUGAAGCUGGAAUCGCUAGUAAUCGUAGAUCAGCAUGCUACGGUGAAUACGUUCCCGGGUCUUGUACACACCGCCCGUCACACCACGAGAGUUUGUAACACCCGAAGCCGGUGGAGUAACCUUUUAGGAGCUAGCCGUCGAAGGUGGGACAAAUGAUUGGGGUGAAGUCGUAACAAGGUAGCCGUAUCGGAAGGUGCGGCUG